AUUGCUUCUUGGCAUUUUGGCUAAGAUCAAGUGU
RNAcentral lists this small nuclear RNA (34 nucleotides) under Cervus elaphus hippelaphus. The record is from RNAcentral. Lineage: Eukaryota; Metazoa; Chordata; Mammalia; Artiodactyla; Cervidae.